Molecule: small nuclear RNA, 135 nt
Filed under: Calocera cornea HHB12733
Lineage: Eukaryota; Fungi; Basidiomycota; Dacrymycetes; Dacrymycetales; Dacrymycetaceae
Description: U4 spliceosomal RNA
Rfam family: U4 spliceosomal RNA
About the family: U4 small nuclear RNA (U4 snRNA) is a component of the major U2-dependent spliceosome.
Source: Rfam by way of RNAcentral
UCUCUUGUGCUCGGGCACGCGCUGUCGACAGUGAGGUCUUUACCGAGUCACAGCCAAUUGCUAGUUGCAAACUAAGCAUCCGAACACGUCGUCAAGUCUAUGACUUUUCGCAAUUUUUGGCAAGCUUCGCUGGGC